RNAcentral lists this long non-coding RNA (231 nucleotides) under Lotus japonicus. Its description in RNAcentral is "long non-coding RNA (LJAP_LNC001044)". The record is from RNAcentral. Lineage: Eukaryota; Viridiplantae; Streptophyta; Magnoliopsida; Fabales; Fabaceae.
CCCAACCGAGCUUCCUUGCACUAUGUGGAACGGACUAUUCUCAGAUUGGACACGCCUAUAGCUAAAGGAACGUACAACGAGCCAUAGCAGGAGUGAGGACAAUGUCCCGUCAGAUACCACGGCCCACGGGCAAGCCAGCGACCUUCACCUCCCGCAAGUCCCUUCGGUCUCCUUUAGCUCCGGUGGGCGUGGUUCUGUAGUUCUUCUGUUCUGGCCUUCCUUCAUGUCGUA